UCUAGAGUAGCACUCGCAUAUCAAUAAGCGGAGGAAAAGAAACUAACAAGGAUUCCCCUAGUAACGGCGAGUGAAGCGGGAAGAGCUCAAAUUUGAAAUCUUAAAGGGUUUCCCUUUACGAAUUGUAGUUUAAAGAAGUGUUUUCUGUUGAGGUUUUGGUAAAAGUUCUUUGGAAUAGGACAUCAUAGAGGGUGAGAAUCCCGUAUUUGACCUUUACUUUCAACUUUGUGAUACACUUUCAAAGAGUCGGAUUGUUUGGGAAUGCAGUCCAAAAUGGGUGGUAAAUUUCAUCUAAAGCUAAAUAUUGGCGAGAGACCGAUAGCGAACAAGUACCGUGAGGGAAAGAUGAAAAGAACUUUGAAAAGAGAGUUAAACAGUACGUGAAAUUGUCAAAAGGGAAGCGUUUGACACCAGUGUUGUUUUUCUGAAAAUCAAUUAAAGAACUGUUUAUGCUAAGUUGUUUAGACUUUAUCAGCUAACUGUUUAGUUUUGAGCUUUUCUUUAAUGCACUUUUCAGUUAACAAGUCAACAUCAAUUUCUUUUGCCUGUAAAAAAGCUUGAGGAAGGUGGCUUGAGAUUCGUCUUAAGUGUUUAUAGCCUCUUGCCUAUGCAGUCGGAGAGAUUGAGGUCUGCAGCGUAGAUCCUUCGGGGCUAAAUGCAUUUGUGCUAAGUUAUAGCAUUUUAUAGACAACUUGUUGACUAUGAUUUGUCUUGUAGCUUACUCGCUUAUGUUAUUUUACCUACGCUUAGGAUGUUGAGCGCAUGUCUCUCUCU
RNAcentral lists this ribosomal RNA (774 nucleotides) under uncultured Neocallimastigales. Its description in RNAcentral is "partial large subunit ribosomal RNA". It matches the Rfam family "Eukaryotic large subunit ribosomal RNA", at positions 20 to 616 of the family's 3401-position model. The record is from RNAcentral. Lineage: Eukaryota; Fungi; Neocallimastigomycota; Neocallimastigomycetes; Neocallimastigales.